UAAUACAGAGGGUGCGAGCGUUAAUCGGAAUUACUGGGCGUAAAGCGCGCGUAGGCGGCUUUGCAAGUCGGGUGUGAAAUCCCCAGGCUUAACCUGGGAACUGCAUUCGAGACUGCAUUGCUAGAGUAUGGGAGAGGGAAGUGGAAUUUCCGGUGUAGCGGUGAAAUGCGUAGAUAUCGGAAGGAACAUCAGUGGCGAAAGCGACUUCCUGGACCAAUACUGACGCUCAUGUGCGAAAGCGUGGGGAGCAAACAGGAUUAGAUACCCUGGUAGUCCACGCCAUAAACGAUGAGAACUGGAUGUCGGGAGGGUCUGCCUCUCGGUGUCGUAGCUAACGCGUUAAGUUCUCCGCCUGGGGAGUACGGCCGCAAGGUUG
RNAcentral lists this ribosomal RNA (376 nucleotides) under uncultured bacterium. RNAcentral describes it as "bacterial SSU rRNA". It matches the Rfam family "Bacterial small subunit ribosomal RNA", at positions 521 to 896 of the family's 1533-position model. The record is from RNAcentral.